GGAUUUGUGGCUUAAUGGUAGAGCACUCACCUAGCAUGUGUGAGGCACUGGAUUCGAUCCCCAGCACCA
RNAcentral lists this transfer RNA (69 nucleotides) under Marmota marmota marmota (Alpine marmot). It matches the Rfam family "tRNA". Rfam says of the family: Transfer RNA (tRNA) molecules are approximately 80 nucleotides in length. Lineage: Eukaryota; Metazoa; Chordata; Mammalia; Rodentia; Sciuridae. The record is from Rfam by way of RNAcentral. RNAcentral also lists the same sequence under 1 other name.